Molecule: ribosomal RNA, 503 nt
Filed under: uncultured bacterium
Lineage: Bacteria
Description: partial 16S ribosomal RNA
Rfam family: Bacterial small subunit ribosomal RNA
Source: RNAcentral
AACGAACGCUGGCGGCGUGCCUAACACAUGCAAGUCGAACGAGAAAGGGGCUUCGGCUCCGAGUAAAGUGGCGCACGGGUGAGUAACACGUGGGUAACCUGCCUCUAAGAUUGGGAUAACUCGUCGAAAGAUGAGCUAAUACCGAAUAAGACCACAGUUCCCGCGGGAACAGGGGUCAAAGGUAGCCUCUGCUUGCAAGCUAUCACUUAGAGAUGGGCCUGCGCACCAUUAGCUAGUUGGUAGGGUAACGGCCUACCAAGGCAAAGAUGGUUAGCUGGUCUGGGAGGAGGAUCAGCCACACUGGAACUGAGACACGGUCCAGACUCCUACGGGAGGCAGCAGUGGGGAAUAUUGCGCAAUGGGCGAAAGCUUGACGCAGCAACGCCGCGUGAGUGAUGAAGGCCUUCGGGUCGUAAAGCUCUGUCGGGAGGAACGAAUGCUCCUGAGGUUAACAGCCUCGGGAGGUGACGGUACCUUCAAAGGAAGCACCGGCUAACUCUGUG